GACGAACGCUGGCGGCGUGCUCAACACAUGCAAGUCGAACGGAAAGACCCUGCUUUUGUGGGGUGCUCGAGUGGCGAACGGGUGAGUAACACGUGAGUAACCUGCCCUUGACUUUGGGAUAACUUCAGGAAACUGGGGCUAAUACCGGAUAGGAGCUCCUGCUGCAUGGUGGGGGUUGGAAAGUUUCGGCGGUUGGGGAUGGACUCGCGGCUUAUCAGCUUGUUGGUGGGGUAGUGGCUUACCAAGGCUUUGACGGGUAGCCGGCCUGAGAGGGUGACCGGCCACAUUGGGACUGAGAUACGGCCCAGACUCCUACGGGAGGCAGCAGUGGGGAAUAUUGCACAAUGGGCGGAAGCCUGAUGCAGCAACGCCGCGUGCGGGAUGACGGCCUUCGGGUUGUAAACCGCUUUCGCCUGUGACGAAGCGUGAGUGACGGUAAUGGGUAAAGAAGCACCGGCUAACUACGU
Molecule: ribosomal RNA, 467 nt
Filed under: uncultured bacterium
Lineage: Bacteria
Description: partial 16S ribosomal RNA
Rfam family: Bacterial small subunit ribosomal RNA
Source: RNAcentral